GCCGGCGUAGCUCAAUCGGCAGAGCACUCGCCUUGUAAGCGAAAGGUCCGGGGUUCGAUUCCCCGCGCCGGCUCCA
RNAcentral lists this transfer RNA (76 nucleotides) under Actinomycetospora corticicola. Its description in RNAcentral is "tRNA-Thr". It matches the Rfam family "tRNA". From Rfam's summary of the family: Transfer RNA (tRNA) molecules are approximately 80 nucleotides in length. Their secondary structure includes four short double-helical elements and three loops (D, anti-codon, and T loops). Further hydrogen bonds mediate the characteristic L-shaped molecular structure. tRNAs have two regions of fundamental functional importance: the anti-codon, which is responsible for specific mRNA codon recognition, and the 3' end, to which the tRNAs corresponding amino acid is attached (by aminoacyl-tRNA synthetases). tRNAs cope with the degeneracy of the genetic code in two manners: having more than one tRNA (with a specific anti-codon) for a particular amino acid; and 'wobble' base-pairing, i.e. permitting non-standard base-pairing at the 3rd anti-codon position. RNAcentral also lists the same sequence under 17 other names. The record is from RNAcentral. Lineage: Bacteria; Bacillati; Actinomycetota; Actinomycetes; Pseudonocardiales; Pseudonocardiaceae.